This 20-nucleotide microRNA is filed under the name Macaca mulatta (Rhesus monkey). RNAcentral's name for it is "mml-miR-924". Its record names the gene mml-miR-924. The record is from miRBase by way of RNAcentral. Lineage: Eukaryota; Metazoa; Chordata; Mammalia; Primates; Cercopithecidae.
AGAGUCUUGUGUUGUCUUGC